AGUGAACGCUGGCGGUAGGCCUAACACAUGCAAGUCGAACGGCAGCACAGAGGAGCUUGCUCCUUGGGUGGCGAGUGGCGGACGGGUGAGGAAUACAUCGGAAUCUACUCUGUCGUGGGGGAUAACGUAGGGAAACUUACGCUAAUACCGCAUACGACCUACGGGUGAAAGCAGGGGACCUUCGGGCCUUGCGCGAUUGAAUGAGCCGAUGUCGGAUUAGCUAGUUGGCGGGGUAAAGGCCCACCAAGGCGACGAUCCGUAGCUGGUCUGAAAGGAUGAUCAGCCAGACUGGAACUGAGACACGGUCCAGACUCCUACGGGAGGCAGCAGUGGGGAAUAUUGGACAAUGGGCGCAAGCCUGAUCCAGCCAUACCGCGUGGGUGAAGAAGGCCUUCGGGUUGUAAAGCCCUUUUGUUGGGAAAGAAAUCCAGCUGGCUAAUACCCCGGUUGGGAUGACAGUACCCAAAGAAUAAGCACCGGCUAACUUCGUGCCAGCCGCCGCAGUAA
RNAcentral lists this ribosomal RNA (507 nucleotides) under uncultured bacterium. Its description in RNAcentral is "partial 16S ribosomal RNA". It matches the Rfam family "Bacterial small subunit ribosomal RNA", at positions 29 to 523 of the family's 1533-position model. The record is from RNAcentral.